This 502-nucleotide ribosomal RNA is filed under the name uncultured bacterium. RNAcentral's name for it is "partial 16S ribosomal RNA". It matches the Rfam family "Bacterial small subunit ribosomal RNA", at positions 28 to 523 of the family's 1533-position model. The record is from RNAcentral.
GGUUAACGCUAGCGGCAGGCCUAACACAUGCAAGUCGAGGGGCAGCACAGAAACAGCAAUGUUUUGGUGGCGACCGGCGGACGGGUGCGUAACGCGUAUGCAACCUACCUUUAAUAGGGGGAUAACGGAGAGAAAUUUGCACUAAUACCCCAUAACAUCGAUCAAGGCAUCUUGAUUGGUUGAAAACUCCGGUGGUUAAAGAUGGGAAUGCGUUGUAUUAGGUAGUUGGUGAGGUAAUGGCUCACCAAGCCUACGAUACAUAGGGGGACUGAGAGGUUAGCCCCGCACACUGGUACUGAGACACGGACCAGACUCCUACGGGAGGCAGCAGCGAGGAAUAUUGGUCAAUGGGGGCAACCCUGAACCAGCCAUGCCGCGCGCAGGAAGACGGCUCUAUGAGUUGUAAACUGCUUUUAAACAGGGAUAAAGCACAGUAUGUAUACUGUGUUGAAGGUACUGUAAGAAUAAGGAUCGGCUAACUCCGUGCCAGCCGCCGCCGUAA